CCAUUUUGGGUCCCGCCCGCCCAUCCCACAGCCCCUCGGGCGGUGCCGCUCCCUGCGGCGGAUCCGGCGGGAACGCGGUCUGUCAUGCUCGCCCGGGGCACGAGGAGCAGCUCUCCGUGCUCCACCCGUGCUGCGCCGGUGUGGGGUUGCCGGGCCGAGGAACUGGGGCUUGGCCGCCAUGCAGGCAGCGAAACCAUAGGGGUGAAACUGUUGUCCAACGACAGCGCGUUCCAUCCCACCAAAGCAGGAAGGGGAAGAGAGAGAAAGAGCACAGAGUGCAGUUUUUGGAGAGCCUUGGUGGGGGCACUGAAUUGGGUAGUACCAUUCCUAAACCACAACACCUGAGGAGAGCCUGAAGCUUUGAGAUGGCACAUUGGGAAGCCUAAGCCAACUGUUCCUGCUGCAUGCAUGCCUGAAUUGAUUACAUUGUUCUGUGGAGCUCAGAGAUUCUCCCUCCUGUUGGUCUGUCCCUGUGUGAAACAGGAAUUCACAGUACUAAAAUGAGUCAGAAGUGAAAGCCAGAACCGCUCCCCCGAGCUUGGACAUCAAUUUGGAAACACCUAGAUCCCACUCUCAGUCCAAAUGGUUUGUGAGGGCAAGUGUUCCAGCUAAGAUCUUGCAGUUGGACACUUUGCCUUUGCUUGGAUCACUGGCAGCUCUCAUGUCAGGCUCAGGUCUUCAGGGCUAUUUUCAUGAGAUGAAAGAAAUCUUAAUUAAGUGUUCAUAUCUUUGUCAGCCAGACUCAGAAUAAAAAUUGAUGCGAUUCCCUUGAGCUUCGCUGCUUGUUAUACCCUGCAGACAACAAAGAUACUGGGAAGAAUAAUGUGAAUCUCAUUUAACAUCACAAAGAAGCUUUCCACAGCAGGAUAGACUGAUGUGAAACUGUUGAAUGGGCAUAGAAAAAACUCUCUACUUUCUCUUCCCUUAAAAAAAAAAAAAGAAAAAGAAAAAAAAGAUUAAAAGAGUAUUUUGAGAA
Molecule: long non-coding RNA, 976 nt
Organism: Pipra filicauda (Wire-tailed manakin)
Lineage: Eukaryota; Metazoa; Chordata; Aves; Passeriformes; Pipridae
Exons: 3
Source: RefSeq, a predicted model, not a curated record